Molecule: ribosomal RNA, 403 nt
Filed under: uncultured bacterium
Lineage: Bacteria
Description: bacterial SSU rRNA
Rfam family: Bacterial small subunit ribosomal RNA
Source: RNAcentral
UAGGGAAUAUUAGAAAUGGACGAAAUUCUGAUCUAGCAACACCGCGUGUGCGAAGAAGGCCUUUGGGUCGUAAAGCACUUUUUGGAAGGAAUAGGAAGGAAUGUACUUCCAGAAUAAGUCUCGGCUAACUACGUGCCAGCAGCCGCGGUAACACGUAGGAGGCAAACGUUAUCCGGAUUUACUGGGCGUAAAGCGCGUGUAGGUGGUACUGUAAGUAGGGCGUGAAAGCUCCUGGCUCAACUGGGAGAGGCCGUUCUAAACUACAGAACUAGAGGAUGGUAGAGGGAGGAGGAAUUCCAGGUGUAGCGGUGGAAUGCGAAGAUAUCUGGAGGAACACCGGUGGCGAAGGCGGCCUCCUGGACCAUUCCUGACACUCAGACGCGAAAGCUAGGUUAGCAAACGG